RNA transcript from Bactrocera neohumeralis, 5273 nucleotides. RefSeq lists it as uncharacterized. NCBI's taxonomy places the organism in Eukaryota, Metazoa, Arthropoda, Insecta, Diptera, Tephritidae. The record is from RefSeq and is a predicted model, not a curated record. The transcript has 9 exons.
UUAACACUGUAUUUGCUAAUACUUGUUUUAUUUUUAAGUACAUCAUAUCUUAGUUGAACGUAAAACAAUCACAGAUUCACUGAAUUACAGUUUAAGUCCAAGUUUCUUUAAUACAAUAACUAUGAUAUGGCAUCACAAUAUGUGCAUCUGUUUUUUAGUUGAUACAAAAUCUAUAACAUAAGUACUGUGAUAUGUAAAUAAUAACUAAGAAAAAAAAUUUUAUUUGUUGUGUUCGCAGGCAUACAAUUUGAUUCGAUAUGCCUAAAUUUUUGAAUGCUAGGAGUGAGAAGCGAAGACGCCAGAGAAGAAAACAUGAAAAUAAGCCAAGGUUUAAUUGUUUGGAUUCAAAACAAGAAAAUAGCGCUAGAACUAAAACAUGUAACGCUCAACCAAAUGAUGUAGUAAAUAGUCAAUCCGAUUAUGACAUUCCCAUAACGCAUGUAAAUUCUAUGGAUGUGUUGUCCCCGAAGAACAGUUCUACAAUUGAAACCAGCAACUUUCAAUCAAUGGCUGUAGUAAAAAGUGAACCAUUAGAAUACAAUGAUGACAUCUACUUAACGCAGCUAAACUCUAAGGAUGUGUGUACCUCUAACCGCAGGAAGGUUGGCCAAUUGACAUAUGAUAAAGAUCAAGAUUUUCUAUACAUUAAGUCUGAAGAGAUCGCUGAGGACAAGGAUCUAGAAGUAGCUGGUAAUGGCAUGCUAUACGAAUUAAAUGCAAGAAAUCCGGUAGUACUGAAUGUAAAUCAACUUAAUACUGAGUCUGGCAAACAUACAAAAAAUCAUGCGUCUGAAAUUGCAGUUACACAACAUCUACAACUUCCACAUUCUGAAAAUUCAAAAAUUCGAAAACAAAAUACAAUAUCAAAAAUUUUUACUACAAAUGGCACAACAACCAACCGAUUAAUCCCUAAAACACCAUAUUUUUUGGAAAUACCCGGAACGUCAAGCUUACUACAGAAAGCAUCGAGCGGAAGAAAAGUGGCUUCUUUAAAAAUAAACAAAACUCCCCAUGCAAAAAUCCUAACAAACUUCAGCGAAGGCACGAGUAAAUGCGCUUGUCAUUCAAAUCCAAUGAAAAACGUUGAUGCUCAUAGCAAUUUAGAACUAAAGGAUUUCUUUGAAAGAAUGUUUGAGGAGACGCGCAAAUUGAAACUCGAAGACCGUCAAACGAUUAAAACAGAAUUGCUCAAAGCAGUUUCUCAAGCUCAAGAAGAUGUGGAGGCUGGAAAGUUUUGUGAAAGGUGCUAUACAAUGUUGGCACAACCAAAGAAGAGAUGUUGACGAAUAAUUGUGGAAAUCUCAAAUUACUUAAUUGAUUUCCAUACACGCUUACAAAAGUUUUGCGUUAUCUGCCUGAUAAGCAUGCACAAGACUUCAAACGAGCUGCAGUUCUUUACUGGCGUAGACACCGCGUACGCGGCUAUAGCAGGAGCCGAGCUGAAGUUAUACUAUAUUCGAAAAGGGGACCAUUGAUGAUUUAAAAUGCUGAUAUCUCAUUUCAUAACUUGACCAUAACUGUUCCAUAACGUCCCAGAAAAUAGAUCGGAUUACUAUAGCAUAUACAUAGCUGCCAUACAAACUGAAUGAUCGGAAUCCAAAUGCUGGCAUGGGAAACUUCCUCAUAUGACGAUAUACUAUUCACGAAAUUUGGUAUGAGUUAUUGUUCAUAGAAAUUUUAUUUCGGAAAAAAAAUUUUCAGAUCGGCUCACUAUAGCAUAUAGCUGCCAUACAAACCGAACGAUCGGAAUCAAGGGCUUGUAUGGAAAACUUUUGCAUUUGACGUGGUAUCUUCACGAAAAUUGACAUGGAUUACUGCUUAAGAAUUUAAAUGUGACCUUGAUAACCGCAAUGAAAAAUGAAAACAAGGUAAUUUGGUAAUAUACGACAAUAACAAAAUGAAAUCUCGAGGUCUGGAUCUCUCAAAUGGAACAAAAUCUAAUGAAACUCAUACAAUUAUUUAAAAAAAAUGUCCUUCAAUAAAACUUGUUAUGCGUACUCGUUUGAAUUGAAGAAAUGUCAGUAUUAAAAGAAUACAACCUUUUAGUGACCGAUCGAGUUCAGUUGAAAAGCAAUAAGUGAAAAGGAAAGGACCUCAUAAUGGACACAAUGAACAUUGAUCAGUACUCGUUUUAUUGACUUGAAGUUGUGGGCAGUAAGGCGGUAUAUUUUCUGUGCUGAAGGUCAUUCUUAACAUCCGGUCACACUUAGUAACACCGACCUAGCUGGUCCCAAGCCCAUGUUGAAAAAAAGGAUGCGGGUUGGUAUGGUGGAAUGACUACUAGUAAGCGUCUCGGUCUCGGUCGUCUGGCAGCCGCAACCAGUACACAGGUCACUGUUACUAAUGCCGAAAACAAUCAGCUUCUCAAUACUGAAAAACAAAUACAAAAUCCGGAAGUAAAAUACCAAGCCCCCAGCGAGGUACCCAACAAAAUAGCCAGCAGUAGUUCAACCGCUCCAAGCAUCAAUAAGAAGUUUGUAUUCACCGCUGGUGGCGACGCUGGGCGUUCGGGAGGGAAGUAUGUCAGCGGAGUGCAAAAUUUCUUCCUGGCGGUGUUCAGCGAUGGUCUAAUGGCCCUAAUCCUGUCGUCGUCCUCGGACAUAUGUGGCUUUAAGUUACAUAAUGCGCGCUUCGAAAAAGGUAAACCUGCAAAAUCUCCCCUGGAGAGUUUCCCAACUACCGUUGCGCAUUCUAAAAACAUCACAGCGUGGGAACAGACUAUACCGCCAUCGGCACGAAUAACCACUGAGAAACAUCUUGGCGCUCCUUUGUUUAAUAAUAAGAAACGUUGGAGAAUUCAUACCACAAUGAGCUCGUCGGGACACCCUGGUAACUCCUACUCGCAAUGGUUAACAGGAACAGGCGAUGCCGAGGAGCUAACUCCUUUUCAGGAGUAUAAGCCUUUUAGUAGAAAUACUGUUUACGCAAAUUAAAUGUCGCUUGUCCCAAAUAUCUGCAUAUCAAGCCUGCGGAAGAAAAGGAAAAGCAACUAAAGUAUAUUCCUUCUCAGUAGAGAGAUGUCACAUAUGAGGAAGUUAGUUUCAAACGUAGGUGCAACUAGAUAAAGCAGAAUAGUCAGAACGCGGUGCUGGUAAAUUUCAAUAUGGAGGCUAAAAAGGACGAAAAUCGGGCUGGGAUACCAGUCCAAACGUCGGUGGGAAAAGUGGUUGCUACCACCGGCGGGCACAGCGAGUUUACAAACUGUGUCGCCAGUGGCCAUACUUCUGCUGUGAAGGGAGCAGUUCACAGUAGUAGUGCUAUUGCCAUAUUCGGUUUACAAUGUAGAGGUGCCACAGUCCAUGUAGAUAUGGACCUUGCAUGUAUUGACAGCGUCAACAUAACUGAAGAGUAAGUAUUGCCAGGCUCUUCAGGGGAUGCUGAUUCGCCGAAAAAGCCUAGGUUUAGGUCAAAACCCAAUAAGGAGGUUAAAAGUGAAAGCGAUCUACAAAGCUGCGGUCGAAGUCAACGGAACACUUAGCUGCAAGGAGGAAAUGUUGGCUUGGGCUACAGGAAAAAUGGAAGAAGGCCGAGCUUAUUAUGCAUCGCGACCGCUGAAAGCGAAACAGCGAGGCCAAAUGACCGACCGAAGAGGAAAUACGACGAUGUAAGACAAAAUGUCAGGCUCAGGGUCGACGGAAUAAUCGCUGGCAAUUGGCAGCUGUCCGAUGAAAGCGAAACAGCGCGUCCGUCUAAACGACAUAAAUGGAAAGACGAUGCUGUAAGGCCAAAUGUCAGUCUCGAUCGUGUUAGAAUUGACUACAACCAGCCAUACCAUACGUCGCGGCAAAAAUUCACGUUCACGGAUCCGAGAUUCGCAAAUCGGGUCGACGAAAGAAUUUCAGCCAAAUGGCAGCUGUCCGCUGAAAGCGAAACGCUCUGGCAUACUGAGAAAAUCGAAUACAACUGGCCUUACAAUACUUCACGGCAGCAAUUCACUUCGACAGAUACGGAAUUCGCAAACUGGAUCGAUGAAACAGCUUGCCCGUAUAAACGACCGAAGAGAGAAGAUGAUGCUGUAAGGCCAAACGACUGCCUCGAUCGAGAGAAACCCUCAACAUCUAGGGCGGCAGCAACGGCCAGCGAGAUAGCCAAGAGGCCCUAAUUGACCGUAGCCACCCCAUGCGCUCUUCGCAAGAAUCGAUAGGGCUCCGGGCACGCUUAUACCAAAUUUCGAUGGACGGGUGAGGACAGGUCCUCACUUCUAUGGGUAAAAGAAGUGAUUAGGAACCUUCAAGGCCUGUGGAAGGGUGCCCUUCUGGACAUUGUGGACCGUAGCUGCAUUCUCAUUCCUCCGAAAGCGAAGGUGCUCAUUCCACGAACGGUAGAACCGGAGGAUGCACUGCGGCUAUUCAGAAGAAAUAAAUUCUGAUAUGCCGACGGAAGAUUGGAGGGUCUUGAAGGUUACCAACUCCGACAAGAGAGAUGUCAGCCAAUUGUACUUUCUUCAAAUAAAUAAGUCGUCCGAAGACAUUUUAUACGGCCAUCCAGACGAUAACAAUGAAAAUACGUUGAAGGAUAACGAGAUGGAGGAGGAUCUAGAAGAUAUUCUAUAGGCCACCUUGAAGCUCCAUGACGCAAGUAAAGGUGAGCCGGUGACUCAACCCGACCCCGAGAAGAAACCCGAAUUUAACAGUGAAGGUUCUUCAAACAUACCUGAAUAAUAGCAAGUAGCCUCUGACUUUAUCUAGACUAAAGUCACCAACAUACUAGUCGUACUUCCCGAGUUAAACAAACAAGAUGACCUGACUGUGGUAGACGUAAAAGAUGGCAAGAAUUAGACACACACCUUUCAUCCAGUUACAUGACCCACGGUUAUGAAGGGCCACUAUUCCAGUAGAACUCAGAAGGUUGGUGGAUGCGGCAGAUAAGACGAAGAACUCUUUUGAUAGGCACGGACGGCAAUGAGCAUAAACUCAUACUCGGUAUCUUAGGAUUUUAAAAAGUAUCAUUCGGAAUUCAAUUCGUCUCGUCAAUCUGAUCAUAUUGAUACACAAACAUAAUUCUAUAUCUUCAUUGAUGCAUUGUGCAGAAUACGCUGAAAAUCGUUACGUUACACCUAUAGAAGAAAAAAGGGCGCCGAACGUCACACCUCAAUAUAAUCUGUAAUAGUAAUAUUUGAAGGAAUUAAUACGCGCCGCGACUUCUCUGUUAGCGGCUGUUUACAAAGUCGAAUUUUUCUAAAAAAGCGAUUUAGAGAAUCACGUGCCAAUUUAAUAGUUCGAGCUAUGGAAGUUGGACUGUGUUUAAAAUAUAUAAAUAAUUUUUUAAUUUUU